RNAcentral lists this ribosomal RNA (326 nucleotides) under uncultured eukaryote. Its description in RNAcentral is "partial 18S ribosomal RNA". It matches the Rfam family "Eukaryotic small subunit ribosomal RNA", at positions 1470 to 1796 of the family's 1831-position model. The record is from RNAcentral.
CCCCUAGAUGUUCUGGGCCGCACGCGCGCUACACUGAACAGUUCAACAAGUCUUAACCUUGGCCGAUAGGUCUGGGUAAUCUUUGAACGCUGUUCGUGAUUGGGAUAGACCUUUGCAAUUAUGGGUCUUCAACGAGGAAUUCCUAGUAAACGCAAGUCAUCAGCUUGCAUUGAUUACGUCCCUGCCCUUUGUACACACCGCCCGUCGCACCUACCGAUUGAAUGGUCCGGUGAAAUCUCGGAUCUGAGAGAUGUCUGAUUAAUUUCGGACGCCUUUUGGAAAAGUUGCUUAAACCUUACCAUUUAGAGGAAGGUGAAGUCGUAACA